This 396-nucleotide ribosomal RNA is filed under the name uncultured Barnesiella sp. RNAcentral's name for it is "bacterial SSU rRNA". It matches the Rfam family "Bacterial small subunit ribosomal RNA", at positions 355 to 749 of the family's 1533-position model. Lineage: Bacteria; Pseudomonadati; Bacteroidota; Bacteroidia; Bacteroidales; Barnesiellaceae. The record is from RNAcentral.
UGAGGAAUAUUGGUCAAUGGGCGAGAGCCUGAACCAGCCAAGUCGCGUGAGGGAAGACGGUCCUACGGAUUGUAAACCUCUUUUGUCGGGGAGUAAUAGGCGGGACGUGUCCUGCUGUGAGAGUACCCGAAGAAAAAGCAUCGGCUAACUCCGUGCCAGCAGCCGCGGUAAUACGGAGGAUGCGAGCGUUAUCCGGAUUUAUUGGGUUUAAAGGGUGCGCAGGCGGCGUGCCAGGUCAGCGGUGAAAGCGUGUGGCUCAACCAUACCGAGCCGUUGAAACUGGUAGUCUUGAGUGCAAAUGAGGUAGGCGGAAUGUGACGUGUAGCGGUGAAAUGCUUAGAUAUGUCCCAGAACUCCGAUUGCGAAGGCAGCUUACCAAGAUGUAACUGACGCUGA